RNAcentral lists this ribosomal RNA (464 nucleotides) under uncultured bacterium. RNAcentral describes it as "partial 16S ribosomal RNA". It matches the Rfam family "Bacterial small subunit ribosomal RNA", at positions 28 to 507 of the family's 1533-position model. The record is from RNAcentral.
GAUGAACGCUGGCGGCGUGCUUAACACAUGCAAGUCGAACGGAAAGGCUCCUGCUUGCAGGGGUACUCGAGUGGCGAACGGGUGAGUAACACGUGGGUGAUCUGCCCUGCACUUCGGGAUAAGCCUGGGAAACUGGGUCUAAUACCGGAUAGGACCGCAUUUUGGAUGGUGUGGUGGAAAGUUUUUCGGUGUGGGAUGAGCUCGCGGCCUAUCAGCUUGUUGGUGGGGAAUGGCCUACCAAGGCGUCGACGGGUAGCCGGCCUGAGAGGGUGUACGGCCACAUUGGGACUGAGAUACGGCCCAGACUCCUACGGGAGGCAGCAGUGGGGAAUAUUGCACAAUGGGCGCAAGCCUGAUGCAGCGACGCCGCGUGGGGGAUGACGGCCUUCGGGUUGUAAACUCCUUUCGCUAGGGACGAAGCGCAAGUGACGGUACCUGGAGAAGAAGCACCGGCUAACUACGUG